CGGGGGGGGCAAGCGUUGUUCGGAAUUACUGGGCGUAAAGGGCUCGUAGGUGGCCAACUAAGUCAGACGUGAAAUCCCCAGGCUCAACUUGGGAACUGCGUCUGAUACUGGAUGGCUUGAAUUCGGGAGAGGGAUGCAGAAUUCCAGGUGUAGCGGUGAAAUGCGUAGAUAUCUGGAGGAAUACCGGUGGCGAAGGCGGCAUCCUGGACCGAGAUUGACACUGAUGAGCGAAAGCCAGGGGAGCAAACGGGAUUAGAUACCCCGGUAGUCCUGGCCCUAAACGAUGAAUGCUUGGUGUGACGGGUAUCGAUCCCUGUCGUGCCGAAGCUAACGCAUUAAGCAUUCCGCCUGGGGAGUACGGUCGCAAGGCUG
Molecule: ribosomal RNA, 372 nt
Filed under: uncultured organism
Description: bacterial SSU rRNA
Rfam family: Bacterial small subunit ribosomal RNA
Source: RNAcentral